GGCAUUCAAGGCUCCAGGCUAACAUUUGAGAGCAGUGAUUUUUUUAAUCAUAAAGGGUCCCAGAGUCUGGAGGAAGAGAGGAGAGGCACACAAUCCACAUUGAUUGAGGUCCAGUGUAAAGUUUCCACAGUCAGUGAUGGUUUGGGGUGCCAUGUCAUCUGCUGGUGUUGGUCCACUGUGUUUUCUGAGGUCCAAGGUCAACGCAGCCGUACACCAGGAAGUUUUAGAGCACUUCAUGCUUCCUGCUGCUGACCAACUUUAUGGAGAUGCAGAUUUCAUUUUCCAACAGGACUUGGCACCUGCACACAGUGCCAAAGCUACCAGUACCUGGUUUAAGGACCAUGGUAUCCCUGUUCUUAAUUGGCCAGCAAACUCGCCUGACCUUAACCCCAUAGAAAAUCUAUGGGGUAUUGUGAAGAGAAAGAUGCGAUAUGCCAGACCCAACAAUGCAGAAGAGCUGAAGGCCACUAUCAGAGCAACCUGGGCUCUUAUAUCACCUGAGCAGUGCCACAGACUGAUCGACUCCAUGCCGCGCCGCAUUGCUGCAGUAAUUCAGGCAAAAGGAGCCCCAACUAAGUAUUGAGUGCUGUACAUGCUCAUACUUUUCAUGUUCAUACUUUUCAGUUGGCCAAGAUUUCUAAAAAUCCUUUCUUUGUAUUGGUCUUAAGUAAUAUUCUAAUUUUCUGAGAUACUGAAUUUGGGAUUUUCCUUAGUUGUCAGUUAUAAUCAUCAAAAUUAAAAGAAAUAAACAUUUGAAAUA
This is a long non-coding RNA of Ctenopharyngodon idella (grass carp), 760 nucleotides long. RefSeq lists it as uncharacterized. The record is from RefSeq and is a predicted model, not a curated record. NCBI's taxonomy places the organism in Eukaryota, Metazoa, Chordata, Actinopteri, Cypriniformes, Xenocyprididae. The transcript is spliced from 2 exons.